This 900-nucleotide ribosomal RNA is filed under the name uncultured bacterium. RNAcentral describes it as "bacterial SSU rRNA". It matches the Rfam family "Bacterial small subunit ribosomal RNA", at positions 8 to 907 of the family's 1533-position model. The record is from RNAcentral.
AGAGUUUGAUCAUGGCUCAGGACGAACGCUGGCGGCGUGCUUAACACAUGCAAGUCGAACGGAAAGGCCCCUUCGGGGGUGCUCGAGUGGCGAACGGGUGAGUAACACGUGGGUGAUCUGCCCUGCACUUCGGGAUAAGCUUGGGAAACUGGGUCUAAUACCGGAUAGGACUCCGAGAUGCAUGUCUUGGGGUGGAAAGUUUUUAACGGUGUGGGAUGGGCCCGCGGCCUAUCAGCUUGUUGGUGGGGUGAUGGCCUACCAAGGCGACGACGGGUAGCCGGCCUGAGAGGGUGUCCGGCCACACUGGGACUGAGAUACGGCCCAGACUCCUACGGGAGGCAGCAGUGGGGAAUAUUGCACAAUGGGCGCAAGCCUGAUGCAGCGACGCCGCGUGGGGGAUGACGGCCUUCGGGUUGUAAACCUCUUUCACCAUCGACGAAGGCCCGGUUUUUGGCUGGGUUGACGGUAGGUGGAGAAGAAGCACCGGCCAACUACGUGCCAGCAGCCGCGGUAAUACGUAGGGUGCGAGCGUUGUCCGGAAUUACUGGGCGUAAAGAGCUCGUAGGUGGUUUGUCGCGUUGUUCGUGAAAUUCCCUGGCUUAACUGGGGGCGUGCGGGCGAUACGGGCAGACUGGAGUACUGCAGGGGAGACUGGAAUUCCUGGUGUAGCGGUGGAAUGCGCAGAUAUCAGGAGGAACACCGGUGGCGAAGGCGGGUCUCUGGGCAGUAACUGACGCUGAGGAGCGAAAGCGUGGGGAGCGAACAGGAUUAGAUACCCUGGUAGUCCACGCCGUAAACGGUGGGUACUAGGUGUGGGUUUCCUUCCUUGGGAUCCGUGCCGUAGCUAACGCAUUAAGUACCCCGCCUGGGGAGUACGGCCGCAAGGCUAAAACUCAAAGG